UAGAUGGAUCCAAAGUAUCUUCUGCCCACUGAUUAAUUGAAUGGCCGCAGUACUCUGACUGUGCUAAGGUAGCGUGAUUCUUGUUUUCUUAAUUAGAAAUCUGUUCAAAGAAUGAUAUGUAGAAAAUCUAUUGUUUUCAUACUAUAACUAACUUAAAUUAUUAGUGAAAAUUCUAAUAAAUUCUUAAAAGACGAGAAGACCCCAUAAAACUUAAUUUGACUUUGUAUUUUUACUCCUUAAAAUUUAAAUGGGGACUUUAGAGUAUAAUAAUAACUUGUUGACCUAUAAAUUUAAUAACUGAGAAGCUACUUUGGGGAUAACAGGGUGAGAUAUUUAAAGAGU
Molecule: ribosomal RNA, 342 nt
Filed under: Brachionus calyciflorus
Lineage: Eukaryota; Metazoa; Rotifera; Eurotatoria; Ploima; Brachionidae
Description: partial 16S ribosomal RNA
Source: RNAcentral